This 263-nucleotide long non-coding RNA is filed under the name Panax ginseng (ginseng). RNAcentral's name for it is "long non-coding RNA (PGIN_LNC002202)". The record is from RNAcentral. Lineage: Eukaryota; Viridiplantae; Streptophyta; Magnoliopsida; Apiales; Araliaceae.
UGCCAUGAUCGGAUCUGGCUUUCCCUUAAAUUCUGGUGGUCCCAACUCUUUGAACUGCUUGGCUGUGACAACCCGUGAAUUGCUAUCAUUUCCUCCUAUGUUUUGAACACGAGUCUCCCUCGUCUGAUUUUGCAUGAACUGCAAAAAGCUUCUAAACAUUGCGUCGUUCAUCGUCUGAUCAGUGGUGUUGUUCACAGGAGGAACAUUGCCAGCCUGUUGCACGUUCUCCUCGUUGGUGAGUACAGGCGUCUCCACGGUCUCAU